Cinara cedri is the source of this 260-nucleotide non-coding RNA. Lineage: Eukaryota; Metazoa; Arthropoda; Insecta; Hemiptera; Aphididae. The record is from the annotation of a GenBank genome assembly.
AGGGCUAUUAUGUGGGCUCAGAAAUAGAUAUUAGAGCAAUUAUAAAAAAAGUGCAUGUUCCCCAAACAUUUAUUUAUGGAACAUACAAAGUUGACUUCUAUUAUACACGUGCAAAAGAAAUACUCGGUUGUAACAAAGCCAUUUAUGAAUUAUUAAAAGCUUGAAAUUAUUUUUUUUCCAUAUUAAUUAAUUCAGAUAUUUAUUUUUACUUCUUAUAAUAUAAGUUGGAAUAUUAAUAUUAUAUGUAUUAUUAUUAACAC